Molecule: ribosomal RNA, 425 nt
Filed under: uncultured bacterium
Lineage: Bacteria
Description: bacterial SSU rRNA
Rfam family: Bacterial small subunit ribosomal RNA
Source: RNAcentral
GGGGAAUAUUGGACAAUGGGCGAAAGCCUGAUCCAGCCAUGCCGCGUGUGUGAAGAAGGUCUUCGGAUUGUAAAGCACUUUAAGUUGGGAGGAAGGGUUUCUGGCUAAUAUCCAGGAAUUUUGACGUUACCGACAGAAUAAGCGCCGGCUAACUACGUGCCAGCAGCCGCGGUAAUACGUAGGGCGCAAGCGUUGUCCGGAAUUAUUGGGCGUAAAGAGCUCGUAGGCGGUUAGUCGCGUCUGCUGUGAAAACUCGAGGCUCAACCUCGGGCUGGAGGGGGGAAGGGGCGAACAGAGGGCGGUAGGGGUGACUUGGAAUCCUGGGGGAGGGGUGGAAAGCGCAAGUAACAAGAGGGACACCGAUGGCGGAGGGAGGUCACCGGGGCGGCAACUGCGCUGAGGAGCGACAGGAAGGGGAGCGAACA